GUGAGGAAUAUUGCGCAAUGGAGGCAACUCUGACGCAGCCAUGCCGCGUGCAGGAAGAAGGCGCUACGCGUUGUAAACUGCUUUUAACCGGGAAGAAACCCCAGGACGUGUCCUGGGUUGACGGUACCGGAGGAAUAAGCACCGGCUAACUUCGUGCCAGCAGCCGCGGUAAUACGAAGGGUGCAAGCGUUAUCCGGAUUCAUUGGGUUUAAAGGGUGCGUAGGCGGAGCGUUAAGUCAGUGGUGAAAUCCUGCAGCUGAACUGUGGACUUGCCAUUGAUACUGGCGCUCUUGAGUGCGCUUGAAGUGGGCGGAAUGUGCCGUGUAGCGGUGAAAUGCUUAGAUAUGGCACAGAACACCAAUUGCGAAGGCAGCUCACUAAGGCGAUACUGACGCUGAGGCACGAAAGCGUGGGGAUCGAACCGGAUUAGAUACCCCUGUAGUCC
Molecule: ribosomal RNA, 445 nt
Filed under: uncultured bacterium
Lineage: Bacteria
Description: partial 16S ribosomal RNA
Rfam family: Bacterial small subunit ribosomal RNA
Source: RNAcentral